This is a long non-coding RNA of Erigeron canadensis, 440 nucleotides long. RefSeq lists it as uncharacterized. The transcript has 3 exons. The record is from RefSeq and is a predicted model, not a curated record. Lineage: Eukaryota; Viridiplantae; Streptophyta; Magnoliopsida; Asterales; Asteraceae.
GAUGAAUCUAGCUAUAUAUAUAAGUUGUAUGGUGUGAGUACUUAAUGGACAAAAUAACCAUUACCAGAGGAAACGAACUAAUAAGAUUAUUAAUUUCAAAGGAAAGGAGAUUAGCAUUACUAUGGCAAAUAAUGAUCAGGAAGCUGGAAGUGAUCUUAAUGAAACAGAGCAUUCUCAAAUCCAUCUUCGGUGUUCAAAGAGCGGAAAAACUCCAUGGCCUUGUAGGUACAACUUUUUGAACAACUAGUGAGUUUUGGGGACCACAAACUUUUGUCGUGUUGAUCCGGAUUUAUUAUGGUUGUCUAUUCUGCUUUUCUAAUCAAAAGAUAGGAGGACACUCCUUCUCCCGAAGUUAAGGGGUCUUUUUGUCGAGUUCUUUCGACAUGGUUCUCUGCGGUGUGCCUACUUAAAAAUCCAAAAUAAAAAAAAGUGUAAGAAAC